CUGGAAUUCGGCUUAGAGUUUGAUCCUGGCUCAGAACGAACGCUGGCGGCGUGCCUAACACAUGCAAGUCGAACGAGAAAGUUCCCUUCGGGGGAUGAGUAAAGUGGCAGACGGGUGAGUAACACGUGGGUAACCUGCCCGGAGGUGGGGGAUAACCCUUCGAAAGGAGGGCUAAUACCGCAUGACAUCCCGAGCUUUUUGGAGUUCGGGAUCAAAGCCAGCCUCUGCUUGCAAGCUGGCGCCACCGGAGGGGCCCGCGCCCCAUUAGCUUGUUGGUGAGGUAACGGCUCACCAAGGCCGCGAUGGGUAGCCGGCCUGAGAGGGUGAUCGGCCACACUGGAACUGAGACACGGUCCAGACUCCUACGGGAGGCAGCAGUGAGGAAUUUUGCGCAAUGGGCGAAAGCCUGACGCAGCGACGCCGCGUGGAGGACAAAGGUCUUCGGAUCGUAAACUCCUGUCAAGCGGGACGAAUCCUGCGGAAAUGAAUAAGCUCCGCAGUUGACGGUACCGCUGGAGGAAGCCCCGGCUAAUCCGUGCCAGCA
This 544-nucleotide ribosomal RNA is filed under the name uncultured bacterium. RNAcentral describes it as "bacterial SSU rRNA". It matches the Rfam family "Bacterial small subunit ribosomal RNA", at positions 1 to 513 of the family's 1533-position model. The record is from RNAcentral.